Gasterosteus aculeatus aculeatus (three-spined stickleback) is the source of this 711-nucleotide long non-coding RNA. The record is from Ensembl. NCBI's taxonomy places the organism in Eukaryota, Metazoa, Chordata, Actinopteri, Perciformes, Gasterosteidae.
UCCCUCUGCAAUACUAACUGCUACUUUUUCCUCUUCAUAAUAGCUCUCUGAUUGUUGGCCAGGCGUCUCUACCACCUGAGCUGCAGCCCACAACGUUUAACUGCUUCAAAUUGUCGUGAUGUCAGCAAGGAGGUUGCCAAGGUGUAUCACAGCACAUAUACCGAGGGCAGCAUAUCGACAUUGACUUAUUUUCUCAUGUCAGUUGCUCCUCAGUACAAGGCUCACGUCUAGAUGCAGCUUCAUGCUCAGCAGCCCUGUCUCCCAUCCACAAUCCCCCCCAAGGAUGUUGGCAGCAUUGUGUUGAAUUCGGGGGAUAAAAUCUCUGGAGUCCCCUGAGGAGCCGUCCUCCCUCCUCUGGCUGUUCCUGUAAAACUUCCCUAAAGGCAGGCGUCUAGCAGGCAUCCUUACCAGAUGCCCUCAACACACCCCAACUGGCUCCUUUCUACGCAAAGGAGCAGCACUCCGAGCUUUUCAUGGAUGACUGAGCUUCUUACCCUCUCUAAGGGAGACACCAGCUCCCCUCCUGAGGAAACCCACUUUGGCCGCAUGUAUCCGUGACCUAGUUAUUUCGGUCAAGACCCAUCCUUCUUGACCCUCGGUGAAGACAGGAAAGAAGAUUGACCGGUAGACCGAGAGCUUUGCCCUACGGCUGAAAGCGAGUGCAACACCGCCCCCGCUGCUUCGGAUCUCCGGCCCAACUCUCACUCGCAC